GAUAGUACCUUACUACUUGGAUAACCGUGGUAAUUCUAGAGCUAAUACAUGCUAAAAACCCCGACUUCGGAAGGGGUGUAUUUAUUAGAUAAAAAACCAAUGCCCUUCGGGGCUCCUUGGUGAUUCAUAAUAACUUAACGAAUCGCAUGGCCUUGUGCCGGCGAUGGUUCAUUCAAAUUUCUGCCCUAUCAACUUUCGAUGGUAGGAUAGUGGCCUACCAUGGUUUCAACGGGUAACGGGGAAUUAGGGUUCUAUUCCGGAGAGGGAGCCUGAGAAACGGCUACCACAUCCAAGGAAGGCAGCAGGCGCGCAAAUUACCCAAUCCCGACACGGGGAGGUAGUGACAAUAAAUACUGAUACAGGGCUCUUUUGGGUCUUGUAAUUGGAAUGAGUACAAUUUAAAUCCCUUAACGAGGAACAAUUGGAGGGCAAGUCUGGUGCCAGCAGCCGCGGUAAUUCCAGCUCCAAUAGCGUAUAUUAAAGUUGUUGCAGUUAAAAAGCUCGUAGUUGAACCUUGGGCCUGGCUGGCCGGUCCGCCUCACCGCGUGCACUGGUCCGGCCGGGCCUUUCCUCCUGGGGAGCCGCAUGCCCUUCACUGGGUGUGCCGGGGAACCAGGACUUUUACUUUGAAAAAAUUAGAGUGUUCAAAGCAGGCCUAUGCUCGAAUACAUUAGCAUGGAAUAAUAGAAUAGGACGUGUGGUUCUAUUUUGUUGGUUUCUAGGACCGCCGUAAUGAUUAAUAGGGAUAGUCGGGGGCAUCAGUAUUCAAUUGUCAGAGGUGAAAUUCUUGGAUUUAUUGAAGACUAACUACUGCGAAAGCAUUUGCCAAGGAUGUUUUCAUUAAUCAGUGAACGAAAGUUAGGGGAUCGAAGACGAUCAGAUACCGUCGUAGUCUUAACCAUAAACUAUGCCGACUAGGGAUCGGGCGAUGUUAUCUUUUUGACUCGCUCGGCACCUUACGAGAAAUCAAAGUCUUUGGUU
Molecule: ribosomal RNA, 981 nt
Filed under: uncultured eukaryote
Lineage: Eukaryota
Description: SSU rRNA
Rfam family: Eukaryotic small subunit ribosomal RNA
Source: RNAcentral